GCCAACGUAGCUCAGUAGGUUAGAGCGUAUCCUUGGUAAGGAUAAGGUCACCGGUUCGAAUCCGGUCGUUGGCU
This 74-nucleotide transfer RNA is filed under the name bacterium. RNAcentral's name for it is "tRNA-Thr". It matches the Rfam family "tRNA". Rfam says of the family: Transfer RNA (tRNA) molecules are approximately 80 nucleotides in length. Their secondary structure includes four short double-helical elements and three loops (D, anti-codon, and T loops). The record is from RNAcentral. RNAcentral also lists the same sequence under 1 other name.